Molecule: ribosomal RNA, 250 nt
Filed under: uncultured bacterium
Lineage: Bacteria
Description: partial 16S ribosomal RNA
Rfam family: Bacterial small subunit ribosomal RNA
Source: RNAcentral
UACGAAGGGGCUAGCGUUGCUCGGAAUCACUGGGCGUAAAGGGUGCGUAGGCGGGUUUUAAGUCAGAGGUGAAAUCCUGGAGCUCAACUCCAGAACUGCCUUUGAUACUGGGAAUCUUGAGUAUGGAAGAGGUGAGUGGAACUGCGAGUGUAGAGGUGAAAUUCGUAGAUAUUCGCAAGAACACCAGUGGCGAAGGCGGCUCACUGGUCCAUAACUGACGCUGAGGCACGAAAGCGUGGGGAGCAACAGG